GCCCCCUUCCCCCUGGGUUGAGUGCUCUGCAAGGCGAGGUCAGGCCAGUGGGUCCUCUGCCUCAGUCUGGCCGCAGCACGGAGGACAGGGGUUUAUCCUCGAGGCCAGCAGGCCCGAGGCCCCAGGCGCUUCCGGCCCGCACGCUGUCCUGAGCCGCAGACGGAGGCCUCAUUGUCCUCGUGGAUGGAGGGCAGGAAGACCCAGGCCGCACUCGGCUCGGGGCUCCCAGGGACAGCAGCUCCCAGGACAGGGCAGGGCAGGGGACAGCCCCAAGGCUCCCUGCUGCCUGGGGACCUGAUGCACCUGUAACAGCCUGUCCCUGCCUGGAGAGCCUGGUGGCUCAGGGGUGGCUCAGGGCAGCCUCCCGGCCCUGGGCCCUGGCUCAAGGGGCCACAGACUCAGUGUCCACACCCGCAGGAGACGGCUGACGCCCUGCCCUUCACGGGUCUCAGCCUGUGACACACAGCCAGAGGCUGCUCCCCGCCCUUGGGGAGCUUAGAGGUCAGCCCUGUCCCCUUCACUUAUUUAAGAAGCACUGGGCCGUGCACUGAGGCACACUUGUAAUCUCCACUACUCGGGAGGCAGAGGCAGGAAGAUCGCUUCAGCUCAGGAGUUCAAACCAGCCUGGGCAACAGUGAGAUUCCUUCUCUAAUAAAUGAGUGAAUAAAAUUAAAAACAAAAAGCACCUUUUAAAACCCUGCUGGCUGCAGCAGACAGAGAAGUCGGGCAGAUGCGCAUGUCCUCUGCAUGGGCAGCGAGGCAGCCCCCGUCUGUGGCUCUGCUGAGCCAUGCUGCUCCGGUGACGCCUGUCCCGCUGUCUCUCAGGACAAGACAUCAAGUCAGACGGCUUCAGCAUCGAGACCUGCAAGAUCAUGGUGGACAUGCUGGACUCGGACGGGAGCGGCAGGCUGGGGCUGAAGGAGUUCUACAUCCUGUGGACGAAGAUCCAGAAGUACCAGAAAAUUUACCGGGAGAUCGACAUAGACAGGUCUGGCACCAUGAACUCCUACGAGAUGCGGAGGGCGCUGGAGGAAGCAGGGUUCAGGCUUCCUUGCGAACUGCACCAAGUCAUCGUUGCCCGGUUUGCAGACGACCGAGCUCAUCAUCGACUUUGACAACUUCGUCCGGUGCCUGGUUCGGCUGGAGACGCUGUUCAAGAUAUUCAAGCAGCUGGACCCCGAGGACACCGGGACCAUCCAGCUGGACCUCAUCUCUUGGCUGUGUUUCUCGGUGCUGUGAAGGGGUGCCCAGCACGCCUGGAGGCUACAGAGGACCCAGGGACUGAGUCUGGACACCUGGAUCGGGCUUGGCACUGUGGGACAUUACGUACACUGAGGACUGUAGCUGAGAACACUGUCUGAGAUAGCCAGACUGUCCCGCCAGGUAGAAGGUUUGCUUAUUAUACAAGUGCAAGUGAGCUGCUUAACCCCUGACAAGCCCAAAGGAAGCCUACACCUACAAACAGUACCCACUUUUCACUUUGACACGCUUUCCUGUUCGGAGCAAUGCUAAACCAGGAGGACAAGGAGGUGUUUUAAAUCAGUCUCCAGGCCAAGAGUAACGGGGAUGCUGAGUUUUAAAAUGCAGAGGUGGCGGCGUCGCCCCCCCAGCAGCCCAGGGACAGUGGCCUCAGCAAGGCAGCGAGAGCCCGGGGAGGAAAGCGCCCUCCUCAUGGGCCAGAUGAGAGCAGGGCGUGCACAGUGCUCAGGUCCUUGUACACGCUCAGCCCUGGGCCUUCACAGGGUCCCACACGUGACUGGUGAGGCUGUGGCCAAGCCAGGCUGGUUGCAAACUGAGGGCUAAGACCCUGGCCCUGCACUCCGUGUCCUCGGUGCCUUUCCGUGGUGAGGGAGGGCGUCCUGGAGGAGACGCCGCAGCUGCUUCUGGGCCUGACCUCGGGAAAGCUGCGACACUAAAACCAUUGCCUUUGCCUUACCACCUUCCUAGUGUCCUGUUGAAUAAAGUUGCCCGACAGCC
Long non-coding RNA from Heterocephalus glaber (naked mole-rat), 1977 nucleotides. The record is from Ensembl. Lineage: Eukaryota; Metazoa; Chordata; Mammalia; Rodentia; Bathyergidae.